This 845-nucleotide ribosomal RNA is filed under the name Salmonella enterica subsp. enterica serovar Stanley. RNAcentral's name for it is "partial 23S ribosomal RNA". It matches the Rfam family "Bacterial large subunit ribosomal RNA", at positions 944 to 1781 of the family's 2925-position model. Lineage: Bacteria; Pseudomonadati; Pseudomonadota; Gammaproteobacteria; Enterobacterales; Enterobacteriaceae. The record is from RNAcentral.
CCGAUGCAAACUGCGAAUACCGGAGAAUGUUAUCACGGGAGACACACGGCGGGUGCUAACGUCCGUCGUGAAGAGGGAAACAACCCAGACCGCCAGCUAAGGUCCCAAAGUCAUGGUUAAGUGGGAAACGAUGUGGGAAGGCCCAGACAGCCAGGAUGUUGGCUUAGAAGCAGCCAUCAUUUAAAGAAAGCGUAAUAGCUCACUGGUCGAGUCGGCCUGCGCGGAAGAUGUAACGGGGCUAAACCAUGCACCGAAGCUGCGGCAGCGACACUGUGUGUUGUUGGGUAGGGGAGCGUUCUGUAAGCCUGUGAAGGUGUGUCGUGAGGCAUGCUGGAGGUAUCAGAAGUGCGAAUGCUGACAUAAGUAACGAUAAAGCGGGUGAAAAGCCCGCUCGCCGGAAGACCAAGGGUUCCUGUCCAACGUUAAUCGGGGCAGGGUGAGUCGACCCCUAAGGCGAGGCCGAAAGGCGUAGUCGAUGGGAAACGGGUUAAUAUUCCCGUACUUGGUGUUACUGCGAAGGGGGGACGGAGAAGGCUAUGUUGGCCGGGCGACGGUUGUCCCGGUUUAAGCGUGUAGGUGUGUGUUCCAGGUAAAUCCGGUUCACUUUAACACUGAGGCGUGACGACGAGGCACUACGGUGCUGAAGCAACAAAUGCCCUGCUUCCAGGAAAAGCCUCUAAGCAUCAGGUAACAUCAAAUCGUACCCCAAACCGACACAGGUGGUCAGGUAGAGAAUACCAAGGCGCUUGAGAGAACUCGGGUGAAGGAACUAGGCAAAAUGGUGCCGUAACUUCGGGAGAAGGCACGCUGACACGUAGGUGAAGUGAUUUACUCAUGGAGCUGAA